This 314-nucleotide ribosomal RNA is filed under the name uncultured bacterium. RNAcentral describes it as "bacterial SSU rRNA". It matches the Rfam family "Bacterial small subunit ribosomal RNA", at positions 28 to 334 of the family's 1533-position model. The record is from RNAcentral.
GAUAAACGCUGGCGGCGCACAUAAGACAUGCAAGUCGAACGGACUUAACCGAAAGUUUACUUUUGGAGCGGUUAGUGGCGGACUGGUGAGUAACACGUAAGCAACCUGCCUAUCAGAGGGGAACAACAGUUAGAAAUGACUGCUAAUACCGCAUAUGCCUAAGUACCACAUGGUGCAAUAGGGAAAGAAGCAAUUCGCUGAUAGAUGGGCUUGCGUCUGAUUAGAUAGUUGGUGAGGUAACGGCUCACCAAGGCUUCGAUACAUAGCCGACCUGAGAGGGUGAUCGGCCACACUGGGACUGAGACACGGCCCAG